Molecule: ribosomal RNA, 448 nt
Filed under: uncultured bacterium
Lineage: Bacteria
Description: bacterial SSU rRNA
Rfam family: Bacterial small subunit ribosomal RNA
Source: RNAcentral
GAACGGUAACAGGCCCGCAAGGGUGCUGACGAGUGGCGGACGGGUGAGGAAUACAUCGGAAUUUACCCAGUCGUGGGGGAUAACGUAGGGAAACUUACGCUAAUACCGCAUACGACCGAGAGGUGAAAGCGUGGGACCGCAAGGCCUCGCGCGAUUGGAUGAGCCGAUGUCGGAUUAGCUAGUUGGCGGGGUAAAGGCCCACCAAGGCGACGAUCCGUAGCUGGUCUGAGAGGAUGAUCAGCCACACUGGGACUGAGACACGGCCCAGACUCCUACGGGAGGCAGCAGUGGGGAAUAUUGGACAAUGGGGGCAACCCUGAUCCAGCAAUGCCGCGUGUGUGAAGAAGGCCUUCGGGUUGUAAAGCACUUUUAUCCGGAACGAAACGUGUUGGGUGAAUAGCCCAGCAAACUGACGGUACCGGAGGAAUAAGCACCGGCUAACUUCGUG